This 826-nucleotide unclassified non-coding RNA is filed under the name Hevea brasiliensis (rubber tree). Lineage: Eukaryota; Viridiplantae; Streptophyta; Magnoliopsida; Malpighiales; Euphorbiaceae. The record is from RNAcentral.
AUAAUCAAUUUAAAACUAAAAUAACCAGAUCAUGAAUGGGCAAAUGGAGAGUGACUCCUUGUGGUAGGAUCCCGAAUGGAUUGAUGUAGAAGUGUAGAUUAGUUCUCCUUAACUUCACUAUUUGAUAAUCGUAGCUCAAGAAAUGAAGAUAUAUGAAGAGGGAAAAUUUGAGAUGGGAAAUUUGAGAGAAACAGAUGGAGAAGUGUAUAAAUUAGAAACAAGAUAAACUCUUUGCCUCUUUGCACCACAAAUAAAAAGAAUCAAUAUCUAUCCAAGUUAGUGGCGGUCGUCACUCGUUAAGCAACGGCCGUUACUAUUACAUAACAGUAAUUACUUGUUAAGUAACAGCCGUUAUUGUUACGUGACGGCUGUUGCCCAUUACAAUUUUUUCACAGUUACUUAAAGGGGGUAUCGGUAAUAGUACCCCCAAAAACCUAUAAAUAAUGAUUUUAAACCAUGCUUCUAUCUCUUUGAACGACCAAUAAAGCAUGCAACAUAUUGAAUAAUCAGUCAGCUACUUGAUUCUCUGUUGGUCUUAAAACACUCUAGAUAGAGAUUUAAAGUUAUCAGACUCACAUUAGAAUGUCAUGUGAUAGAGCUCAGUAAUAAACCAAAUUACCCAUUACCUAUUGCCUUUCCACAUGAUCAGAGUUUGCAUUAAGAAUAAGACUUCAAAAGCUAGAAAAAGGUAAAUAGCAACUUACAGCUUGACAGACAUGUGAUAAAGUUGACUCAAUAUGCUUCAUAAGCUAGAGAAAGGUAAAUAGCAACUUACAGCUUGACAGACAUGUGAUAAAGUUGACUCAAUAUGCUUCAUAAGCUAGAG